UACGUAGGGGGCUAGCGUUGUCCGGAAUCCUUGGGCGUAAAGCGCGUGUAGGCGGUCCGAUAAGUCCGCUGUGAAAGUCGAGGGCUCAACCCUCGAAUGCCGGUGGAUACUGUCGGGCUUGAGUACGGGAGAGGCGAGUGGAAUUCCUGGUGUAGCGGUGAAAUGCGCAGAUAUCAGGAGGAACACCGAUUGCGAAGGCAGCUCGCUGGAACGUUACUGACGCUGAGACGCGAAAGCGUGGGGAGCAAACAGG
This 253-nucleotide ribosomal RNA is filed under the name uncultured bacterium. RNAcentral's name for it is "partial 16S ribosomal RNA". It matches the Rfam family "Bacterial small subunit ribosomal RNA", at positions 524 to 776 of the family's 1533-position model. The record is from RNAcentral.